This 253-nucleotide ribosomal RNA is filed under the name uncultured bacterium. RNAcentral's name for it is "partial 16S ribosomal RNA". It matches the Rfam family "Bacterial small subunit ribosomal RNA", at positions 524 to 776 of the family's 1533-position model. The record is from RNAcentral.
UACGUAGGGGGCAAGCGUUGUCCGGAAUUAUUGGGCGUAAAGCGCGCGCAGGCGGUUUCUUAAGUCUGGUGUGAAAGCCCGCAGCUCAACUGCGGAGGGCCACUGGAAACUGGGAAGCUUGAGUGUAGGAGAGGAGAGCGGAAUUCCACGUGUAGCGGUGAAAUGCGUAGAUAUGUGGAGGAACACCCGUGGCGAAAGCGGCUCUCUGGCCUAUAACUGACGCUGAGGCGCGAAAGCGUGGGGAGCAAACAGG